AUGGCAAGUAGAUUUCAUAGAAUGGAGUCACACCCCAUUCUCGCAGAUUCAGCAGCUCUGGACCCCAGAUUCAAGGAGAUGGUGUUUACAGAGGCCAGAGCAACAGAUGAAGCCUUCCAAAGAUUAUCCACUGAUGCAGCACGAAUUACUCUUGACACUGACCAAAGUCAGACCAUCCAAGGGGAGGGAGGACGAUGCAUACAAGAAUCUGCUGUCUGGAGCUACUUUAAUGAACAAGUGGCUGGAGCUGUGGCAAGCAGAAACCCAACAGCUGACGCCAUUAUGGGGGUGCGGGCUUUCAUAGAGGAGCCACUUCUUCUAAAAAGUGGGGAUCCUCUAAAGUGGUGGCAGAGUCGGCCCUGGUACAUCCCAGACUUACCAGACUUGUGGUAAAGAAGCUGUGCAUUGUUGCAACUUCAGGGCCUUCGGAGAGAGUGUUCUCUAAGACAGGACAAAUAUUCUCUGAAAGGAGAAACCGCCUCAAGCCUGAAAAAGUGAGAGCACUUGUCUUCCUAAAUGCAAAUUUGCAAGAUUAGAAAUGUGAGAGAAGAAAGUUGAAACCCUCUUUGUUUUCAGUUGUUUUCUUUUUGCUAAGAUUGUUUCUUUUUGUUCAGUUGUAGCAACAUCCGGUGCAUACAUCUGUAGGCCAAAAGGUGCACAUUUUAUUUUUUUUUCUGUUUCUCAUUACGGCAUUCCUUUUCUUAUUACCACAUUUUAUUUCUACUUUGAAGAACAACUGUUUGAAGAUAUUUGUGCAUUGUGCAGCUUUCUAGUAUUUACAUAUAUUUUUGUUUAUGUUGCCGUAGUCACAUACAAUGUAACUUAGGCAACAUGAACAAAAAUGUAUGUACAUAUGUAUGUAUAUGUGUAUGUAUGUCAUACAUACAGCUUUUUACAAUGUUCAAAAGAUGUAAAACAUUAUUUAUAUUAUUUAUUUUUCUACAGUUCCUUAUCUUUAUAUACAGAGUAGAAGUGAGAGAACUGAUGUGGUAUCAUUUUGAUAUUUACAUUAGAGAUAUAAGGUAUUUGGCAAUGUUGAAGUAUUUUAUUUGCACUACAGUUUUGUAGGUAUUCAAGUACUGUAAUUGCAGUGAUUAAUCACUGUUGUGUUAUGUGCAAUUUUUUCCCGUUUGUUUACACACAUUUAUUGUUUUGAGGAGA
RNAcentral lists this long non-coding RNA (1161 nucleotides) under Sphaeramia orbicularis (orbiculate cardinalfish). RNAcentral describes it as "lncRNA (ENSSORG00005023611.1)". Lineage: Eukaryota; Metazoa; Chordata; Actinopteri; Kurtiformes; Apogonidae. The record is from RNAcentral.